GAGGGUGUAGCUCAGUGGUAGAGAGUGAGCUUAGCAUGCACUGCACAAGGUCCUGGGUUCAAUCCCCAGUACCUCCA
This 77-nucleotide transfer RNA is filed under the name Camelus bactrianus (Bactrian camel). It matches the Rfam family "tRNA". Rfam says of the family: Transfer RNA (tRNA) molecules are approximately 80 nucleotides in length. Their secondary structure includes four short double-helical elements and three loops (D, anti-codon, and T loops). Further hydrogen bonds mediate the characteristic L-shaped molecular structure. tRNAs have two regions of fundamental functional importance: the anti-codon, which is responsible for specific mRNA codon recognition, and the 3' end, to which the tRNAs corresponding amino acid is attached (by aminoacyl-tRNA synthetases). tRNAs cope with the degeneracy of the genetic code in two manners: having more than one tRNA (with a specific anti-codon) for a particular amino acid; and 'wobble' base-pairing, i.e. permitting non-standard base-pairing at the 3rd anti-codon position. RNAcentral also lists the same sequence under 3 other names. The record is from Rfam by way of RNAcentral. Lineage: Eukaryota; Metazoa; Chordata; Mammalia; Artiodactyla; Camelidae.